RNAcentral lists this long non-coding RNA (30925 nucleotides) under Citrus maxima (pomelo). RNAcentral describes it as "long non-coding RNA (CMAX_LNC001471)". The record is from RNAcentral. Lineage: Eukaryota; Viridiplantae; Streptophyta; Magnoliopsida; Sapindales; Rutaceae.
ACGUGGUCUAAUGUUGAUAAUAAUAGAUUAUCAAAUGAGAGAUGCUGAGAGAUGCUGGUCUAGUAUUGCAAGCCCCCAGAUUUAAGAAUCUUUUGAUGAUAAUUUACCACCUGUAACUGUGCCGGAAGAUUCACCUAGCAUUGAAAAAGAUGAUAAUUUAAUUGAUAUGGAUAGUUUUCAUAACACUUUUAAAUCAUCUUAUGUAAUUAUAAUGUUGAGAAGCAUUAGUGGUCUAUAUGUGAACUAUUAUUGACGCUAUUUUGUUGUAAACAAUCUUAUUCAAUUAAUGUAUAAUUUAAAAUCAUUAUGUAAAUCAAUCUAUUACUUUUCAUGAUAUUUAACUGAGUUAAAACUAAGUGCACCCAAUAAAUCUCUUUUCCUUUAAAAAACUGUUACGCUUUGAUUUUAGUGCUUAAUAUUUACGGAACUCCGGUACAGGGAAUUCGAAAUCAAACUCGUAACUACAGAUUAUCUAAUUGCAAGCUUUUGUCCAUAGUUGCUGAUUGUAGUGAUUAUCUAAUUGACUGAGGUGACAACAAUUUUUUUUUUUAAUUUUCAAUAGCAUAAUGUGGAAUUCAAUAAUUAAAUUCUCCUUUUUAAUUUGUUUCCAGUUAAAUUAUUAAUUACUUAAACUCUGUUUUAAGUCUUUAAUUUUAUGUCUUGGCGUAUAUGCAGGGUUGGAUUCUUGAGCGUGUUGGACACGACCAACAAUGAAAUUGACAGUAAACAAACAUUAUAACGCGUUGAGUGUCGACUCCGCUAGCUGCCCUACAAGUCUACAACUUUACAAACAAUAACUGAGUACACACAUUUGAUUCUCAGGGCCUUUCAAUGAAUUUCUAGGCCGGUUGACUCCACCGACAAAAGUUUUGGAAAAUAAAAAAGAAAAUUCAUAGAAUUCCACCAAAUGCAAAACGCGUGGAAUUUAAUUUUCGGCUGUGUGGACCAAAACAUAAUUUAAUGAAAAAAAAGAUAAGAUUUCUAGAAUGUGUGGAAGGUGAUCCAUAUUUUACUGAAACAACUUAUUAAAUUUUUCAAGGAUUUAGAAUAUUUGGUCAUAAAUUACGCUCAUGUUAAUUUUUCCACUGUUGACUAUCAUAUUCUAGACUCACUGGUACCUUUCUUGAUGAAGGGUACUUAGUCUCUCUUCUCCUCUUAUAAAAAUUAUAUUAAUUAAUUUCUUAUUAUAAUAAAUAGUCUUUAAGAACGUAUAGAUUUAUUGUUUUCGUGACCAAAUUAUGCCAGCUUAAGGUUGCGACUAUUAAUAAAAUUAAUAUUUAAUGUUUAUGUUAAAAGAUAUAAGAUUUUUUGCAUUCAUUAAUUGUCAUUAGCUAAAGGAUUAAUUAUUUUUUCAACCCAAUCAGUUGAUGCAUCUGCAAGAAUUUUUUCUUUUAUUGACCAUAAUUAUAUUCCGGGUACAAUAAAUUAUCUUUGGUGCUUGGAAAAUAUGACUUCUUACUUCAAGUUUGAUGUGUCUCUCUCCAUAAGCUUACUGGAAAUAUAUCCUCAUCUACUGUCAUUUAUCUAAUAUCAAUUGAAUAUCUGACUUUUUCAAACUAUCACUUCCAAGUCUCAUUGUCACUUGGCCAUUCUUGGACCAUUCAAAACCAAACAAGUGUUGAAAUAAUCAAAUAUAUGCAAAAUUAGAGUCACGACUUUUGGUCCUCCAAAUUCUAAUUAUAUUACUUCUAUAUAUCUCAUUGUCAGGUCACGAACUUGUUGGCACAUUUUCCAAAUUCCUCUUCCAUCAGCUCUUACACGUUAACUUAAGUGGAAAGUUUCCAAGUUGAUUGCUAGAAAGCAACGCAAAAUCAGACACGCUUGAUCUGUCCCCUAAUUCUCUUUUCUACGUUGAAAAAGAAAAAAAAUAAGAAAAAAGAAAAUAGAUCUAUGUAAAAAUAAAUAAUAAACUGAGUAAAAGUACAUUUGUUUAUUUAACAUCUGAUCGGGGCAUUUUUGGUGUAAUUUCGUGCUGUGUUUAACCCACAACUAAAAUCAAACAGCCCCUUAGAAUACUUCUUCCAUUUUGGGUGCGUUUGGGAUUGAGGUUGGGCAGCUGUAACUUAAAAACUACAGCACUAAAGUGUUUGAUAAACACUAACUGCUGUAGCUUUUAAGCUAUGUUGAUAUGGUUUUUCACUUGUAUAAUACAAAAUUUAUUAUAUCUUUAAUAAUUUUAUCAAAAUUAUUAUUUAAAAUUUAUAUUUACUAUAUAUUAUUAACUUUUGUUUCAUAAUUACAGCUUUUUUUUCACAGCAACUGUAGCUUAAAAGCUACAGCAUCUCAAUCCCAAACGCACCCUUUAUCUGCUACUUUUGUGGAUCUUAUAGGGUGGGCAUGUGAACAGAAUUUAAAAAUUUUAAUAGUCUCAAAGAAUAAGAUAUGCUAAAGCUAAAGUUGUUGCACCUUCUAAUUAAAUAAAGUUGUAUAAUUUCACCAACUUGGAAGAAUUGAUAUUAAUGGACGGUCCCCUCUCCAUAUAUGAAGCCUUCUUAAAAGUUAAUUUUUAUUUCAGAAAAAAAAAGUUUAAGUUACAUAUAUUAUAGUAAGAUUUUUUUAGACCAAUUCCCUUCUUGAAAUAAUAAUGGAAAAGCAUUAAUUUAAAAAUAAAAUGAAUAUGUAUUGAUUAUAUCCUGAUUUUCAUCGAUUAUAGUGAGAGUUUCUCCAAAUCAAUUCCCUUAUUCAAAUAAUACAGAAAAAAUAGUAAUUUAAUAGUAAAAUAAACAAGUGUUGAUUAUAUAUUCUAAGUUUCAUCGAUUAUGUGAUCAAAGUGGCAUUGUUGAUUUAUUUCUUGUUCAAUGUUAAUUUUUAGGUUAUAUAAAUUUCAAGGAUCUAAAAUCUUUGGUCAUGGAUUACACGCUUGUUAAUUUUUCUGCCAUUAACUGUCAUAUUCUAGACUUAAUGAUACCUUUCUUGAUCAAGCGUAAUUAUUCUCUCUUCUCCUCUUAUAAAUUCCUCUUCCAUUAACAUCACUAGGAGUAUGUUGAUCUCUCAGACGUUAACUUGAGUGGAGAGUUUCCAAAUUGAUUGUUACAAAACAACACAAAAACUAGACACACUUGAUCUGUCUAAUAAUUCUCUUUCGGUAAAAUUAAUUAAUUUUAGGGAAAUAUUCUGCCAACCUCUGUAAUUUCAAAGUGAUCAUUAAUUAAUUAAACGAUACAAAUAUCUAAAGUGAUUAGAUGUUUGCCGACAAUACAAGUUCAUGACUUGAAAUUUGAUCUCUAUCGAUUGGUUUACAAAUGGACGUACUUGUGCCUUUGUGGCGAUAAUCAAACAAGUUCCCAUGAUUAUUAUUUUUUCCAAAAACGUUUUUACAACAAAUUCAUCUCGCCAAAAAUUCUAUGUUGCUAACUAACAAUAAUUGAGCACUUGGCCGCAUUGACCCCACGUCUCCACCUCUUUCUAAAAACAUGGAAAAUGUAAUUUCCACAAAAUGCCAAACGUGUGGAAUUUAAUUUUUUUGCCUUGUGGAUCAAAAUACAAAUGAAAGAAACAGGAGAAAAAAAAGGCCCAAAGACUUCUAAAAGAUGAAGAAGUCUUUGGGCCUUUUUAUAAUGGUGAAUUUUUUAAAAGAAAAAAAAUAACAACAUUUUUAUGGUUUGUUUUGAUAAUCAUAUUUACAUAUACUCUCUAAUUUUCAAAAUGGACACAUAAAUCUUUUUUUUUACAAAAUAUAUAUUAUUCAUAUUUUUUAUUUUUUAUUAUCAUAUUUUUAUUUAUUAUAAAUGUUUAGAGUAAAUUUUUAGGUUGAAAUAUAAUAAAAAUGUAUAAUCGUUCUCUUAUUAAACACACAUACUUUUAUUAGUUUCUAUGCAUUUGUCAUCUCAAUCUCUCUCAAUUAUUCUUUAUUGCUAGCUCAAAACGCGUUGCUGUUGCAAAUUAUAGCAAAAUGACAAAUAUGGAAAAAAAGGGAAGAAAAUUAAUGCAUGAAAGACUUGGAGAAAACAACAAAAUAAGCCAACUAUGAGCUAGUUGGGUGUAUAAAUUGUUAGAUGUGUUAUAUACAAAUAGCAUAGAGCCCUCUAGUUAGUUCCAGAGACAGAAAGAGCGUGUGUGUUUUUUCACAGUUAGAGAUAUAGUUAGAAUGGGUGGUUCAAAAUCAAAAAUGAUGAUAAUGUUUAUUAUGUUAUUAAUAAUAUUUAAAAGUGGGUGGAGUGAGGGAUGUUUGGAUCACGAGAGAUUUGCUCUUUUGCGACUCAAACAUUUCUUCGAUGAUAGUUAUCUUUAUGACUGGGCCGAUGAUGAGGGAGCUACUGAUUGUUGUCAGUGGGAAAAUGUUGAGUGCAGCAACACCACAGGCCGAGUGAUAGCGCUAGACCUUUUUGACACGCAUGGGGGAGAGCACAGCUGGUAUAUGAAUGCUUCUUUGUUUACUCCCUUCCAACAACUUGAGUCACUUGAUUUAACUGACAACAAUAUAGCCGGUUGUGUUGAGAAUGAAGGUGCUUCGUUUAAUUUAAUUAAUUUACUUUCUCCCCCCAAAUUUAAGUUGAAUAUCAAGACCGAGCAAUUAUAUGCAUAUUCAUUUAGUCGACAAUUUUGACUUUUUUUUAAAUGAUUAAUUUUGAAAUUACACCAGUAUCUAUGAUCUUUUUUUAUUUUAUUUUAUUUGCAGGUAUAGAGAGGCUAUCAAGAUUGAACAACUUGAAGAUGCUUAAUUUAAGUCGAAACUCAUUCAAUAAUAGCAUUUUAUCAUCUCUAACUCAUCUUUCAUCAUUAAGAUCAUUAAAUUUACUUUGGAAUAGAUUGGAAGGAAGUAUUGACGUUAAAGGUACAUAAUUAAAACUUCAAGCUCUUUCAUUAACUUGCUAAAAUAAGAUUCAAGGCUUUGAAAGAAAAAGAGAGAAAAAAACAAGGCCCAAAGACUUCUAAAAGAUGUAAAAGUCUUUGGGCUUUUUUAUAAUGGUGGAUUUUUUAAAAGGAAAAAAUAACAACGCUUCUAUGGUUUGUUUUGAUAAUCACAUUUACAUAUACUCUCUAAAUUUCAAAAUGGACACAUAAAUCUUUUUUUUUUCUACAAAUGUAUAUUGUAUUUUUUAUUAUUUUUAAUAUCAUAUUGUUAUUUAUUAUAAAUAUUUAAAGUAAAUUUUUAAGUUGAAAUAUAAUAAAAGAGUAUAAUCGUUCUCUUCUUAAACACUCAUACUUUUAGUUUCUAUCCAUUUGUCAUCUCAAUCUCUCUCAAUUAUUCAUUAUUGCUAGCUCAAAACGCGUUGCUGUGGAAAAUUAUAGCAAAAAGACAAAUAUGGAAAAGAAAAAAGGGAAGAAAAUUAAUGCAUGAAAGACUUGGAGAAAACAACGAAGUAAGUCAACUAUAAUCUAGCUGGGUGUAUAAAUUGUUUGAUGCUUUAUAAGCAAAUAACAUACAGAGACAGACAAUGUGUGUUCGUUUUUUCAUAGUUAAAGAUAUAGUUAGAAUGGGUGGUUCAAAAUCAAAAAUGGUGAUAAUGUUUGUUAUGUUAUUAAUAAUAUUUAAAAGUGGGUGGAGUGAGGGAUGUUUGGAUCACGAGAGAUUUGCUCUUUUACGACUCAAACAUUUCUUCAAUGAUCCUCUUAAUUCUCUUUACGACUGGGUAGAUGGUGAGGGAGCUACUGAUUGUUGUCAGUGGGAAAGGGUUGAGUGCAGCAACACCACAGGCCAAGUGAUAGCGUUGCACCUUUCUAAUAUAUAUUUGGGAGAGUACAGCUGGUAUCUGAAUGCUUCUUUGUUUACUCCCUUCCAACAACUUGAGUCACUUGAUUUAAGUUUCAACAAAAUAGCCGGUUGUGAUGAGAAUGAAGGUGCUUCGUUUAAUUUAAUUAAUUUACUUUCUCUCUCCUAAUUUAAGUGGUAUAUUAAAAUUGAGCAACUAUAUGCAUAUACAUUAGUUGACAAUUUUGACAUAUUUUUUGAAGUGAUUAAUUAAUUUUGAAAUUACACCAAAUAUCUAUGAUCAUUUUUUUUUAUUUUACUUGAAGGUAUAAAGAGGUUAUCAAGAUUGAACAACUUGAAGAUGCUUAAUUUAAGUGCUAACUCGUUCAACAAUAGCAUUUUAUCAUCUCUAACUCAUCUUUCAUCAAUAAGAUCAUUAAAUUUAUAUGUGAAUGAAUUGGAAGGAAGUAUUGAUGCUAAAGGUACAUAUUUAAAACUUCUCUCUUCCCCAAGCUCUUUCAUUAACUUGCUAAAAUAAGAUUCAAGGCUUUGAAUUCAAUUUUUUUAUGAUUAAUAUUUAAAAAAAACAGUUUUAAGCAAUUUAUAAAUACAAGUUUUAAUGUUUCUUAUAAUUUCAUCUUGUACUUUCAUAUGUCUUGAAUUUAAGAUUAAAAAAAAAACUCUAAUAGCAAACCAAACACCUCCACAACUUAUUAUUAUUAUUAUUAUUAUUAUUAUUAUUAUUAUAUAUUUUUUAAUUUGUGGUGAGGUUUGAAACAUUCAACUCAAUUUGUACUUGUUACAGAAUUUGAUUCUUUGAGAGAUUUAGAGGAGCUAGACAUUGGCGGGAACAAGAUUGACAAAUUUGUGGUCUCAAAAGGUACUACAAAUACCAUAAAAAAAAUAUGCUAACUUUUACAAAUUAGUUAGAUUCUUUGCCAUUUGGUUUAUUAUUUUACAGGUUUGAGUAAGUUGAAGUCUCUUGGUUUAAGUGGUAUCAAACUCAAUCGUAGCAUCUUAUCUUCUCUUUCUUCGUUAAGAGAAUUAGAUAUAAGUCGUACGGGAUUCAAAGGAACAUUUGAUGUUCGAGGUAAGCCUAAACCUUGCUUUCUCAUUUUAUAUAUGCCAACUAGAUUUGUGUAUCAUCGACAUAAUUUAAUAUUUAAUUUGAUAAGUCUGAAGGAAUUACAUGCUAAUUUAAACACACUUUUAUUUACUUUGUCAAUUAAUCAAUUAAUUACUAUUUGGCUUGGUUUGGACGAAAUUCUCAUGAUGUUUUAAUUUCUUUAAAUUAAUUAAUUAAUUAACUCUGUUUUUAAGUCUUAAGUCUGGGCAUGUUUGCAGAAUUUGAUUCCUUCAAUAACUUAGAAGUGUUGGACAUGAGUUGGAACGAAAUCGACAAUCUUGUGGUUCCUCAAGGUAAACAAUUAAAAUAUUAUUCAAUUACAUUAUUUUAAUUCAUUUGAUUAGAGAAGGCCAAAAAGGUAAAAAAAAAAUUCAAUAAAGAAAUAGAGAAUUUGUAUUAUUUAAAAAACAGAAUGUAAUAAAGAUUUGAUUCUAGUUCUUUAAUCUUUAAAGCGAUUGAAAAACAAUGUUGGUCUUUUCGCAAAGCAUAAAAUACGAAUUGAAUGCCAAUUAACUUAAUCAUUCAUUUCGUUUAGCUCUAAAUUUAGACAAUGAAUUUUUAUAUUAUUUCAAAAACAGGACGUAAUAGAAUUUUUUUAAAAAUAGAUUGUAAUGAAGAUUUGAUUCCAAUUCUUUAAUCUUUACAGUGAUUGAAAAACGAUACUACUUCCCAAAGCAUAAAAUACGAAUUGACUCUCAAUUAAAUUAAUCAUUUAUUUCGUUCAUCUCUGAAUUUAAAUAAUGAAUUUUGAUCUUCAAUCUUUUCCUAAUUAUUAUUAAUAAACAGGUUACAGAGGUUUGAGGAAGUUGAAAAGCUUUGGUCUAUCGGGAGUUGGAAUUAGAGAUGGAAGCAAGUUGUUACAGUCAAUGAGAUCAUUCCCAUCCCUCAACACUCUUGACCUGACCGAUAAUAAUUUUACCAAUAUAGCGACCGCUACUCAAGGUAAGUAAAAGGUACAGAUGUGGCCAAAUUUAUAAAUAAAUUGUUUAUUAAUUAAUUUUUUCGUAUUAUUAAUUAAGCUAAAUUCGUUGCUCCUUCCUUCUAAAUCUAAACAGAGUUGCACAAUUUCACCAACUUGGAAUAUUUGACAUUGCACGGUUCCUCUCUCCAUAUAAGCCUUCUGCAAAGCAUUGCAUCAAUAUUCCCUUCGUUAAAAAAUCUGUCGAUGUCUUUUUGUGAAGUCAAUGGUGUUGUACGCGGUCAAGGUAAAAGAAAAGCGUUGAUUGUGAACUCACUCAAUGGUGUCCUACGUGUUCAACAUUUUUAUUUAUUAAUUUAUUUAUUGUUUAAUGUUUCUGCUAGGUUUUCCUCAUUUCAAGAGUUUGGAACAUUUUGACAUGAGCUCCACACGCAUUGCACUCAACACCAGCUUUCUUCAAAUCAUCGGUGAAUCGAUGCCUUCUCUUAAGUACUUAUCACUGUCAUAUUCUACUCUUGGCACUAACAGCAGCAGGAUUCUUGAUCAAGGUUAAUGAGAUGCUGCCACCCUCCCUUCUUAAUCUAUAAUAUUAAUUUUCGAUUAAAUAUUUAAUUACACAAACCAAUCACUUAUUAUAAAAGAAUAAUACGCAUUCAUUAAUUUUUAAAUUGUAUUAAUAAUUGAUGAAUUUAAUAAAUUUUCAGGCCUCUGUUCGUUGAUGCAUCUACAAGAGUUACACAUUGCUUAUAACGAUUUAAGAGGUAGCUUGCCUUGGUGCUUGGCAAAUAUGACAUCCCUCCGAAUAUUAGAUGUUUCUUCCAAUCAACUUACUGGAAGCAUCUCCUCAUCUCCCCUCGUUCAUUUGACAUCCAUUGAAGAGCUGAGGCUUUCAUACAACCACUUCCAGAUCCCAAUUUCACUUGAACCACUUUUCAAUCAUUCAAGACUCAAGAUUUUUUAUGCUGACAACAACGAACUAAAUGCAGAAAUAACUGAGUCACAUUCUUUGACCGCCCCAAACUUCCAAUUAUCACGUCUCUCAUUGUCUUCCAGUUACGGAGACAGUUUCAUAUUCCCCAAAUUCCUUUACCAUCAACAUGACCUGGAGUAUGUUGAUCUCUCACACAUAAAGAUGAAUGGAGAAUUUCCAACUUGGUUGUUGGAAAACAACACAAAAUUGAGACAACUUUCUCUCGUCAAUGAUUCUCUUGCAGGACAUUUCCGGUUGCCAAUUCAUUCACACAAGCGGUUAGGACUGUUGGAUAUAUCCAACAACAACUUCCGAGGCCACAUUCCAGUAAAAAUUGGAGAUGUUUUACCAAGUUUAUACGUUUUCAACAAUUCCAUGAAUGCUUUAGACGGUAGCAUUCCCUCUUCAUUUGGUAAUAUGAAAUUCCUCCAAAUUCUGGACUUAUCCAACAAUCACUUGACUGGUGAAAUCCCCGAGCACUUGGCCGUGGGUUGCGUCAACUUGCAGUCUCUUGCAUUAUCAAAUAACAACCUACAAGGUCAUUUGUUCUCUAGAAAUUUUAACUUGACAAACUUGCAAUGGUUACAAUUGGAGGGCAAUCGCUUCGUAGGUGAGAUCCCACAAAGUUUGUCUAAAUGCUCCUCACUAGAAGGAUUGUAUCUUAACAAUAAUAGUCUUUCGGGUAAGAUUCCACGAUGGUUGGGUAAUCUCACAUGGUUACAAUAUAUUAUACUGCCCAAUAAUCAUCUUGAAGGCCCUAUUCCAGUGGAGUUUUGUCAGCUUGAUUCGCUUCAGAUUUUGGACAUUUCAGACAACAACAUAUCUGGAAGUUUACCAUCUUGUUUCCAUCCUCUCUCUAUCAAACAAGUUCAUCUUUCAAAAAAUAUGUUACAUGGACAGCUAAAAAGAGGUACAUUCUUUAAUUGCUCUUCCCUUGUGACAUUAGAUCUUAGUUAUAACCGCUUGAAUGGCAGCAUUCCGGAUUGGGUUGAUGGGCUUUCUCGGUUAAGCCACCUUAUCUUAGGUCACAAUAAUCUUGAAGGUGAAGUGCCAGUUCAAUUGUGCAAAUUGAACCAACUACAAUUGUUAGAUCUUUCUAAUAAUAAUCUUCACGGUCUUAUUCCUCCUUGCUUUGAUAACACCACACUUCAUGAAAGUUACAGCAAUAGUUCUAGUCCUGAUGAGCAAUUUGAAAUAUUUUUUUCCAUCGAAGGCCCUCAGGGAGGUGUAGAAAAGCAAAUCCAUGAAAAUUUUGAGUUCACAACAAAGAACAAUGCAUACAUUUACCAAGGAAAAGUGCUUAGCCUCCUAUCAGGACUUGAUCUUUCUUGCAACAAGCUAAUCGGUCAUAUUCCUCCUCAAAUUGGAAAUUUGACAAGGAUUCAAACAUUGAAUCUAUCGCACAACAACUUGACAGGAUCGAUCCCAUCAACAUUUUCAAACUUGAAGUAUGUCGAAAGUUUGGAUCUUUCCAACAACAAAUUGAAUGGGAAAAUCCCUUAUCAACUAGUGGAGUUAAAGACAUUGGAGGUUUUCAGUGUGGCAUACAAUAACUUAUCAGGCGAAAUUCCAGAAUGGAAAGCACAAUUUGCAACCUUCAACGAGAGUAGCUAUGAGGGAAAUAUUUUUCUUUGUGGACUGCCAUUGCCUAUUUGCAUAUCACCAACAACUACGCAGGAGGCUUCAAUUGACAAUGAACGAGAUGAUAAUUUAAUUGACAUGGACAGUUUCUUUAUCACAUUUACAACAUCGUACGUAAUUGUGAUAUUCGGAAUUGUUAUUGUUUUAUAUGUAAAUUCUUAUUGGCGACGUAGAUGGUUUUACUUUGUUGAAAUGUGGAUAACUUCAUGUUAUUAUUUUAUUGUAGACAAUCUUAUUGCAACAAGAUAUUGUCAUUGAAAUUAAUUAGCAGUUUAAUUACCAUUCUUUAAGUUCUAAUCAAGUUUGCUUAGGAAAUAAAUUUAUUUUUAUUUUUUAUUAAAAUUGUAGUAGUAUUUAGCGCUAUAUAGCUUCCAACUUCCGAGCACUUCACAUUUGUCUCUACACUUCCAAACCCAUAUCUGUCCACCAUAACUUAUACUUCCUUAUACUGUGCAGCAUACUUAAAUAAGAGAACCAUCUCCAAUGUUAAAACCAACCACUCUAUAACAUUCAUUUAGAAACUAUAUUUAGAAUAUUUUUAUAAUCAUACACAAGAAAUGAAACACCUAGAUGCACUUGAUCGCCUUUUUUUACUUUAAAAAAUAAUGAUUAUGGUGCUAUCAUCAUCUUCUUCACUAGCGUCAUUAACACCAAAUCCAGCGACGGACCCAUACAUUUUAUCAAGAAAGGUAUAUAUAUAAUAAAGUUGAAGCUCGACAAAAAUUCAGGAAGAUUGAUGCCUCGCCACAACAAGGGGCACACCAACAUCAAAGUAGAGAUGAAGCAAUAUUCUCAAAGCUAAAACUCUCAAAUCCACCCACCAGAAUUUCAUAUCCCUCAACAAUUUUAAGAACUAAAGAUAAUUAGGAUCUAACAUUAGUUUUUUAUAUAUUAGUUUCAUAAUUUACAAAUCAAUGAAGAUGAAGAUUAUGCUAAUGAAUUCAAAUUAUACCAUACAUUCUCGAGAUGUUACCAAAAAUUUCUAAGUCAAUCCCACAUAUUUCAUAAUUUUAAGACUAGAAAAUUUCAUUAGUUAGAAGUUUAUUACCUUCAAGUGGAAGAUGAAGAACAUUAUACAACUGAUUCAGAUUAUAUCAUACAUACUCCAAAUGCAACUAGAAAUUAACAAGUUCAUGCGCACAGAUUUCAUAACAUUAUGAUUGGAAAGUUUCACAAAGAGAAAUUCUAAAUUCAAUCUAUUGCAUCAAGGUAGUUUGAUUGAUUUGAGUUACUUUCUGAUCAAGCUACUAAUAUAACAUUCAAGUCAGGGAGAAAGUAAAUUAAAUCUGAGAAGAAAUAACAAUAAAAAUUUGUUGCUAAACAUGAUGUGUAUUUUUUUUUCAAGGCAAUUUGGAAACACAGUUGUUACUACAGAUAUUCUCCUCAACUUAGAGAUAAAUACAAAUAUUAAAAUGCAUAUGAUCGCACAUAUUACUUGGAGCUUAGUAAGAUUUCAUAAAGAGAAGAAAUCAAACCACUUAUCAAUUGUUGCAAUCGUUCUAUAAGCUAAAAUAGCAAUAUAAUACAAGAAAAGGAACAUAUAGAUACUUGGCAAGAGUUCAUUAAGAAGUCGCAUCACAUUCGGGUGAGUUUGCUUCUGAUAUCUUGCUAGCGGGGGCUUUUUCUUGUCUUUCUACGUAUGCCGAGGGAAACUAACCAGCUUGGCCCUUGCAUUCACCUUCUGACCAUCCAGUAGGAGCCACCUUGAGAAGUUAUAACUAAAACAGUGAAUUAAACAAAAGUUGACCGUUCAAAGACCUAAGGGGAAAACUAAUUCUUUUACGUAGGAGGAGUGAAUUAGUUGUGAUCACUGAAAUAACAGCAUAACUAUGGAAGCAUAACAAGAUAUAAAUUCACACGUCUAUAAGGGUAAACUGGGUGGUUUAGAACUGAGCUAGCAACCCUACUAUAUUCUGAUUUGCACUUCAAUGUAAAAGGGAAUAUAUGGUAGGAAGAAAGAAAACCAACCAUCAUUUGUUAACUCAUUGCUUUUCAAUCAAAAUUUUAAGAACAAAAUGCCAUGUGCUUUGAACAUCAAAUAAGUAUAAGCAUUAGUUCUAAAUUCCACAUAUCAUAAGUUAGAAGGAUAAGUUAAUAGCAUAGUAGAAAAAUCUCUGUGUUGUUAUUUAGAGGGGAAAGUACCAGGCGAACCACAACAUAAUCAUCAAUUGAAAGACUUAGCUCUCCAUUUGCUUGAGCAUCAAAUGGAUGUAUAACCUGCAAGAUAAUGGGAUAAAUAGAACUUAAAUCUUAAAAAAAGCAUAACAAAAGCAGCAACAGUAGCAGCAGCGUUCAUUGUAACCACUAUGAUCAUGGCCAACAAAGAUAUAUUAGAAACAAAAUUCCAUUUUUACUACGACAUUAAUAUGUACUAUAUGAUAUCAUGACGAUAGGGUUACCAAGAGCUAUCAAAGUCCAAUAAAUUCUGUAUAACUUUAUGUAGUUAUUCAAAUUAUGGAUCAGAUUUUAAAUCUGAAAUUUUGACUGCUCUCCACAAAACAUGGCCUAUGCACAAGAAAGUCAUAGAUAAUGAGGAUUACAAGUGUCUGACAUCUUUUGAGUGAUGGAUUUAACAUGAGAGCUUAUGGUCAGUCAAUUUCCUCUGCCUAGCAAUAUAAGCUUUUUCGGCCAGAUUUAUCAUCAAAUACAUAGAUUGCCCCCAAGUCACAUCCAUAUAAACAUAGUUUUUCUAGGUAAACCAAGUAAGGAAAAUCAUAAUUCAGACAUAAUCAUAAAAAGACCCAUCUAACUUUCUUUGGCAUGCCUAACUCAGCUUUGAUGUUGCUGAGAUAUUGAUAGUAGAGACACAUGAUACUUCUAGCUCAUGCAUUCUAUCUAGCUCAUCUGACAGCUAUCUCUUUUUUAAUUCAUUAGUGUUUGCUAAACCUCAUGCUUAAGAGUCCUGUUCUCCUAAACAAAGUUUUCUAAGAAUGACUUCCUCAGCACCACAUUUGGACACUUUUAAAGCAAUUUUAUUUGGGGGAAAAGAAUUUUCAAGGUGUUAACUAAUAAAUUUUAAAAAAUAAUUACAAUUUGUCCUACGAUUAUAUGACAAUUUAUCUGGGAUGAACGGAUACAGACAAACAUCUUCCACUUUUAAGACUAAUCACUACUUCCGUAGAUGUUUUGCAAUAACACAAAUGCUUGACCAGAUGGUAGUGAUGGUAGAAAAAAAUUUUAUUGCUCUAAAAUUAAAAUAAGAAUGCAAUAUGUUAAGCAAAAGACUGUGCAACAUCAAAUUAAUUGAUAAGUUUGUAAUUCAGUAAAUUAACAACUUUCAUGGUAAAAUACAACAAAUUUCUUUUCAAAAAAAAAUCUUAAAAGACAGCAUUCAAUUUUGUGCGCAUCUUAUUUCUUAAGAUUUUCCAGGAGGGCAAUACAGGGACUUUCACCUACGCAAGAGAGCAAAAGCCUUACUUUCGCUAUAAAGUAGACGUCAUUCUGAUUAAUAUGCGUUUGCAAAUCAGCUCCAUUUGAAUCAGUAUUCUGAUAGACACAUGAGGCAUUUACAUCCAUUUCCAAAGUCACAUGUUGCGAGGAGGACUCAUUUGAUUGCUCCUCUAGGAUCAUCUAAUUCAAGUAGCAAGGGUUGGAAGAGAAUAAAAAGUCACAAUUAUUCUUUUGCAUAAGUGAGACGAAAAUGAUAAAUGCACUAUUAUCAGCAGUAAACAAGAAGAGAACACUCCAAGGAAUAGAUAGAUGCGGACAAGCAAGUUAAAAUGCAAAGUUCCAAACCUCCGCAUACAACUUCUCUAAAAUAGCAAUAAUGUGUUGAUGAUAUGUUUUCUCAGCAUCUACCUGCAAAGGCCCGAGACUAGGAAAACAACAAUAAAACCACUAGCUAAAGGAGAAAGUAAAUAAAGAAAUACACUUGACAUAAAUCUUGACAAGAAGCACAAUUUAAGACAUAACAAACCCCAAUCAUAUUGUUUAGAACUACCAUUCGUUAUUUCGUUAUUGUAGCAUUUCGAACAAGUGUUGACUUAAUUCAACAUUGUUGGAAAGAUAGGCUUUUAGAAGCGGAAGAAAGCCACUCAAACCAAAGUGAUUAUCCUUGUAUUGAUCAAGGGAUGUAAACAUAUUACAUUUGCAGGAUGAGUUUUAAUCACUCCCCUGAUUUAUUUGGGUUGCAGUAAAACUAAGCGAGCAACUGUUUGACUUUCAAGCAACAUCUAAAUCAGCUAUUAAAAUUCAAAUAAAAUCAUAAUAGAAUAAUAACAGGCCAUCUUGCAUCAAAAAUUAAGUUUAAUUUGUGAAUUUUUUUCUAUAGACAUGUUAGUUCCUGCUAUUGAAAUGUUAAAAGCAUUGAAAAAUUAUUCAAUAAAUUAUGCAAACAUUAAAAUAGAGGACAUAUUAAAAAGUUUCUAAUUACAAUGUUAUGAUUUCCUAUAUUUUAGCAUUUGCAUAUUUUAAUUUAUUUAAAAGCUACGUCGAUCAACUUUGGGCGUGAAGAUUUUAGCUUCUACGAGACUUGAUUGGAAUAUGCAUAAGGAAGAGUGUUAAAAUAUGAUGCAUCCAACGAAAGACAAACCACGUGUAGUCUUUUAAUUAAGCCAAGAGUAGUGCUAGAGAGAGAGAAGCACGAGAGAAGGACGAGAGAAUUUUGCCCCUUUCUCUCUACCCACUCAUUCUCUCUCUACCCCUUUUUUCAUUGUUUCUCUCGUCUUUCUCUCGUGUUUCUCUACACCAAGCAUUUUCCUUAAGCCAAAGUAGCAGCUCAAACAAAUGACACUUGGACCAACAUGCAAUCAUGAAGUGGCCGGAAAAAGGACAAAUGCAACUUUGGCUUAAAUAAAAAAUAACAUGUGACUUGACUUUUGCUGGACAUGCAUCAUGUUAUUACAAGACAACAGAAAUCAGUAUGAUAGUACUAAAAGUUGACAAUAACAUGAAGAUAAGAGGCAGAAUGUCAACAAAUGCAUAGGCACACACAAGAAAGUAUUAACUUAUAUACCAUAGCAAAAAGUCUUUGAUAUGUCAUCUGUUGCUGCUGUGAUUCAACUGACAGCAUGGCAGCUGUCGCUUCUCUACCAAGAGCCAUUAUUGUAGAUUUAAGCUCGGUCAAUCUUGCUUCUGCAUUUCGAAGCUUCACAGCACUCUCUGCUGAUAUAUCAGAUUCCCUAAUCUUUGAUCGGCGCCUAAAUACUUCAGCUGCCUGGUGAAAAUAUUCAAUAUAAAUCUAACAUAAUUCUAAUCUUGCCUUAUACAUGCAUAUGUUAACUCAAAGCUUACCUGCGCUUCAACUUCAUGUCGAAGUUUGUCAUAACGAUGAGUCAGGUGUCGAGCAUCUUCCAAAGGUGCUCCAUUGAUUAACGCCCGUAGUGGCUCAGAUACCGACAUGUCCAAAAACCUGUAACAUAGUUAGAAAAAUGAAAAGAAAGAGCAAAACCUCAAUUAAAAAGUUCCUCCAACAUAAUCAUGGAAUUUGGGCCUACUUCAAGGAUAUAUAUAAGGAUAAUUUAUGCAAUUUUGGGUCUAAGGAUGAUUCAUAUUAGGUUAGUGUUCUUCUCUUCUGUAUUUAAGGUUAAAAUAGAAAUAAACCUAUGAAAAUAUCUAAAUUAGGGCUGUAAGACUUCCACAUGCAUCCUUCAGUCUCAUGGAUUUGAUUUUACUAUAGAUGCAAGUGUCUUUAUCGAAAAUGCUUGGAGUCAAUUGAGAGAACUCACGGCCAAUAACUUGUCACACGCUAGUCUUUGCUAGUGAUGUAAGAAGUCACAAGGUCUCUUCAACAUUUGAACCAAUAAAAUUAUUAAGUCAUGGAUGUCACUAGCAAUGAUUUUAAUAUAAAACAUUACAUAUUUCAGAGUUGAAACUUUAAAAUGGAUUCUUUUAUUCAGUAUCUUAGAACUAAGUUUCCUUAUGAGAAGAUAAUAGUUUCAGUAGUAAUUUACAUAUAAUUUUCUAUAUUUGAAUUAUUUUCUAGUUAGGGAUGAACUAACCUGAUCACGAAGAAUCCCAAGCAAAGUUUCCCUCUCAUUUUCCAUCAAAUCAUGUGAAGUGCCAAAUUGAAGAGCAGCUCUUGCAACGCAAGAAUUGUCACUUUGAUUCUCCACUCCAUACUUGCAACAAUCUUCGGCCAACUUUCUCGCUACAAUAUUUGAAUACAAAAAUAUUGUACACGAGAACUAGUCAAGAAAAUUAAAAAAAAAAAAAAUCAAAUAUUAUAACGAGAGCAAGAGCAAACAAACAACCUAUUUCCAUUUGUUUCAAGCUUACUGCAACAAACCCUUCAACGCCACGGACAACAUUCCUCUGAAAAUGCUGCGCUACAGAGCAUAUAUUCCAAAUUAUUGUUCAGAUAAAACCAUACAAACCAUCAUAAUUAUUCAACAUACAUUAAGCUCCGUUUGGUAAAUACUUGCAACUUCAGUCCAGAAAAUACAGUUAAUUUUUAUUUAAAAAACAUCAUAAUUAUCAACAUACAUAUUUGACAAAAUUAUUAUUUAAAAAUCAUAACUAAUUACCAAAAGCCACAAUAAAUCAAUAUCAAACAGUCUUAUUAUUAGCUAAAGGAGGAUAGUACCUUAGCUGCCCUGGUGGAAUUGUAUAGAUUUUGAAGUUGUUGGUGACACUCAAUUUCAGAUUCAUCAACAUUUUCAAUACCAAGAUGGAGCAGAUGCUUCAAUACUGCCUGUACAAACCAUAAAAAACUAAUGAAAAAUAAAUAAAAUCGAGAAAUUUCACUAAAUAAAAGUCUAAAUAUAAUUUUUAAAAAAAGAAAAGAAACGGACUUGCUGCUGCUUGGCGACUUGUUCUCGGAGCUUGAUUGCCUGUUUCUUGAUAGCUUCCAUACUGUUUCUUUCAAAAAGCGACGACGGCUCAGCUCAUGGAGGUGGAAAAAAAAAAGUGUGAUGGAGAAAAAUAAAAAGGCAUGAAUAAUUUUUGACAAAAAGCGAAAAUCAAGGAAAGCCAGCUCUUUCCAGAAAAAUAAAAAAGAAAAAAGAAAAUUAUAAGUUUGAAAGGAGAAGAUGAUAGUGGAAGUGUGCGGUGUGGCUGCCAGCUACUUGGAUUUUACUGUUGGGUAAGGUAAUAGUAGAGAAUUUUUUUUUUUUUUUAAGAAAAAUAGUAGAGAAUUUUUUAAGAAGCUAGAACAGAGCAUGACAUUAGACUUUUGUGGACCAAAUUCAAAAGCCGAAUGGCACGGCCCAGAAGCUUUUGAAUAGAAAAACUUGCAUCAGCCUCAAUCACUUCUUAAUCGCUUGCUUUAACUGCAUCGCUCUCUCUGUGCUCUUCUAUAUAUGUAACGGUUAUGCGGUUGUAGUUCACGACUGAGGCUACGUGUUGGUUUGACGUGGCAGUUACGUUACUAGGGGAUAAAUAAGAUUGGUUUCAACAAACCCACUAAUUUUAUAAAAUUCGAGUAAUAUAGAAUAAAAUAAAAAAAAUAAAUACAAAAUUGGCUUUUAUUUUUUCUGGUUGACUGUAUUUUGUGUUCUCUUCCGGCACUACUACAAUUGUUCCCUAUAUAUUAGUCACACCCAUAUGUCAUUAACACAAGAAAUGAAAUCUAAUGUCACCUAUUUAGUUAAAGAAUCACUUAUGAAAAAAUUUUACCAUUUUGAUUUGAGGAUCCAUAUUUUGAACUGCAAACUAAUGUUCAUCAAGAACAGAGUAUGACUUAUGUGUAGAAAAUUUUAUGAUUUUGGCCCGAAAUAUAAGGAAAUUAAAUUAGAUGAGAAUCUGCCACUUUCUCAUGAAGAAAGGCAUGCGGAGCAUACCAUGGUACCAUACGGAGAAUAUUAGAACCUCCCUAGAAUAUCUUUACCCUGAUGUUUCUAACAAAAAUCUGCAUGUGGCAGCAAUUACUAGAUCUACAAUUUCCCAAAUAAUAUUUUGUGUUUCUUAAAAAAUUUGAAAUACAUAGUUGCACUUGCACACCGUGAGACAGUGCUACAAUCUACUGAGAUCUAAAUUAUAUGAGACUUUAAGCUACUAAUGUUUGCAUAUUUCUACAUGUCAAAUUAACAUUACCAUCUAUAAUCCUAAACGACAGAUGAUAAACGGCUUUUGGCCACUUAUUACUAGCAUCCACAAUUAAUUUUUGUUCAGCAAUCAGCUUAUUUUAUAGAAAUUGAUUUAGUCAGCAACAAACACUAUAAUACUUGAAAUUAGUUCUUGUUCUUUGUAAUUUUCUAUGAUUUUUCAUAUAUCAAUUAAUCUGCAGUGCCAAGAUGAGGUUUAGUUUUCAAACUAAAUAAUCAAGUAAGCAAAAAUACAAAUUCAGAGAUUAGCGGGGUAAACUAGCUGGGUGGUUUAGAACUGGGCUAGCUACCUCCCUGUAUUCCUAUUUGUAAGGUGAAUUAAUUGAAUCAUGAGAAAACAAUGUGACCAUAGCUCAAUAUGAGAUGAUUUCGGAGAGGCAUAUUGUUUUCGAGUGAAUUUGAUCCAUUAAGAGAUGAAGUGGAUUGAAGUGGAAAGUUUAAAUAACAAAUCCUUGUUCUUGAGUUUUACGACGUCGUUACUCCUUCAGGUGGCAGAUUAUGCAAGUGAAUUCAAAAACACAAUGCAUCAAUCACGGGGACAAAAGACGGGAUCACAGUCUAUGCAUUGAACAGUUACAGUUGCUGCUACCAAUUGUUCGGCAAAGAUCAAGAAGACUGAACGGGAAGCUAAUGCCAUCAAUGUCGUCUUCACUAUAUCUGCUGGGAAUGUAGGUGAACUUUCCUCAUUUGCAGCUGUCUAUACAUAGGCUUUUCCCCAGCUUAAGUACAAAUAAAUGAAGCUGCCUUGAAGGCUUUAUUAUUGACCCCAAUAAGGAUUACUAAUUGAAGAAGACUAUACGGAGUUAAUCUCACAUUUUAGUUCUCUCAAUUUCUUUCAGAAGUGCCUCUGAAAAUAGCUGCCAAACCGUUAGUCAGCUUGUAUACUCUGUUUUCUGGAAACAGAGUAGCAUAUUUAAUCGUUUUAAUUGAAUUGUCUUCGUAGCGAUCAUCAACAAACUCAUCAUAAGAUUUUUGAAGCACCCAAGGACUAUCACUGGGUUUCUCUUCUGGUUGAUUUAUUAAUUAAUCAAAGAACGGUUGGAUGAAGUGCAAUGAUGGAGCAAAAUUUACAAUGUCUCCGGUUUCUCCUGACCAUCGGACUUUUGCAGUGAGAACAUAUAACAAAAAGACCUUCAUCAAAAUUUGUAGACUCCGGGUAUGGAUUGGAUCGAGUUUUUUGUUUGAUAUUGAAGAACCACUUUACUAUCGCGAUAUAGAUUAUGUGCAAGGGGUUGUCUACUGUUCUUUGCCUUGUGCUAUGAUCGGUGCUUUUGACGUUGCCCCGAAACAGUGGAAAAUACUUCGAUUUCCUCCGUUUGAUGAUGCAAAGAACUGGUUAAUGUACGAUUACCUAAUUGACUCAGGAUCAAGUAACAACAACAAUUUAUUAAUAGUAGUAUCACAAACGAAGAAGAUUUCGGAGAGGGUGAUGUAUGCCUAUACCGUUUACAGGUUUGAUCCACAGGGGAUGAAGUGGUCUCAAGUGGAAAGUGAUUUAUUAAACAACAAAUCAUUGUUCUUGGGUCAUACCUCAUGAUGUCAUCAAGUGGAAGAUGAAGAUUAUGCAAGACGAAGAUCGUUUGAUAUUGAAGAAUUUGAACAGAAAGCCCAUAGAAAGUACUUAAAUAAGCAUAUUCUUGUUGGGGUAGAAUAUUAAGAAAGGAGUUGUCUACUGUGUGUUGCGUGAUUAGGCUAUGAUCUGUGCUUUGAACAUUGCCCUCAAAACAGUGGAAAAUACUUCAUAUCCUCGACAUGAUGAUGAAAAAUUGGUUACCGAUUACCUAAUUGACUCAGUGACAACAAUCUAUUAAUAGCACAAUUUGGCGUGAUGCCGUUUAGGUAUAUGGUUUUCAAGUUUGAUUCAUCAGUGAUGAAGUGGACUAAAAUAAGAUGUUUAAAUGAUAAGUCAUUGUUCUUGGGCAUAUCGUCAUUACUACUUCUAGUGAUCAAAGAUGAAGAUGAAGAUGAAGAUGAAGAUGAAAAUUGUGCGAGUUCAAGAUUACCAUCAACUCAAUUUUAUGAUUGGAGUGUCUCACCGUGACUCAGACAAAUUCUGAUUCAACCUCCUUCACCAAUGGAUUUUGAUUAGUUAUUUUGUGAUCAAGCAACUUAAUUAAACUCACAGUUUGUUAGUCUAAUUUUAGUUUUACUGUGACCACUAUUCAAGGUAAGCGAAAGUUACAGAUGUGGCAAAAUCAAUAAUUAAAUUCAUAAAAUGUUAAAAAAUAAAACUUAUAAAUUUUGCAUGACUACUUACUAAUAAAUAAAUAAGUUAGAAUGUAGUUAGUUAAUUUUACACCAUAUUAUAUAUUAUUCGAUAAUAAUAUAAAAUAAAAAGAAUUAAAAAAUAAAUAAUUGAAUAAACAAAUAUGACUUUCUAAACAGUAAAAAUUCUAGAGUUAAAAUUUAUAUUAUUAUUUUAUUUUUUAAAAUUGACAUAUUUCUAUUAUCUUACAUGUACACAGAUUUUGAGAGUUGAGAAGAAUAUAUUUAAUGAAGCUUGCUAACAUUUGGUGGGAUAGCAAGUAAGGGUAAAUAAGAUUUUUUUGUUAUUUAUUUGAAUUAUAUCUAUUUUGUUCAAGUUAAAAUACUAAAUAUAAAUUGGAGGUAGACAUUUUAACAGAUCAUCUAAGCUCUCAAAUCUGAAAUUUUGUGUAGAUUUAAAUUCAUAAUUUUAGUUAAUUUUCAUACAUUCAUAUAAACAAAUUUAUGAGAUUUUUCUUUUCAGCAUGUUAUAUUUUGAAACUUUCAAUGUAUUAUUCUAGCUUUAUUUAAAUAAUUAAUUUAUUUAAAAUUUAUUUAAUUUUGAAUUUGAUCAAUAGUAAAAUUAUUUUUAUAUCAAAUUUUUUUAUUUAAAUAGUUCGUGGAUUGGACAAAAUUAAAAAUUUUUAAUCCACAAAAUGGUGGAUUAGAUAUGAAUUGGGUUAAAUACACAUUCGAUCCGCAGUCGUAUGAAUUUGAUUUGGAUUGAAUUUCAUCAAUCCAUGGAUUAGAUUGGAUUGAAAAAUUUAUUAUCCGCAAAAUCGUGGAUCGAAUAUGGACUGAUGUCCAAUCAGCAAAAUCCAAUCCCCGAACACUCCUCUAUCAAAAUUUUCAAGAAUAUUUUUUAUCUUACAAAUUUUUUUUAAAGUCAUAGUCUAAGGGCGGCCCAAUUUCUACUCCAUCCAUAUAAGCGGAGUUCAAAUCUCAUACCUCUUAUCUCCACACAAGAGAUUUAACCAAUUGAAAUAGCUAGCACCCACAAGUAUACUAGUACAGCAUCUCUUAACGUUUAACAUACGUAAAAUUAACGCCAUAGCUAUUGAUAAACACAUUGUUCAAUAUAUAUGAUCAAGAAUCUGAUCCUGCGAGCAACAGCAGUCAGAAGAACCAUUAUAAUGCCUAGCUCUUAUCCUGGUUAAUCCUCUGGCCCGAUGCUUCAUCAUAGUGAUUUAAAAAACCAACAACAGCUCUCUAAAAGAGAUGAAGAUAUCAUCUACGUAAAGAACAUGAGACGGAGAUUCACAACCCAUAAGAACUGAGAUAAAUUGGACCAGACCAGUAAUCUUGAGAUAAGUUAAACUGUGACUUAAGUUGAAAUCAGAGGACAGGAAUUUUAAAAUCUUUCGGCUAAGCCCCUGAGGAAUUUUCUAGAGUACGACUUCUGCUUACCUCUGUUUAAUUUCUCUUUAUAUUUUUCUUUCAUUUCAUUAAUAAAGUCAAAUAAUAAAUCAAAGAACGAGGGAAGAUUUUUCCAAGUCAUGCAUUAUUUGAUUACCAUCAAUCAAGAAACCGACCAAAUUAAUUUCUCUCCGUGAUUUUUAAAAAUUAAAAAAAAAAUAUUUGAGCAUAACAUCAUUAAUUAUAGAGUGGAUCAAACUGCGUUAAUCAUGAACUUUGUUGUGUUAAUUAUUUCAAUCCCCGAUUACGCAAUUUUUAAAUUAUAGCCUAACGGUGGUCUCAUCACCACGUGUGUGAUUUUCUUUUGCCAAUAGGAUCUGUAGAGAGCUUGAUCUCACCCAAUAGCAAAAUAAACUUCCUAAUAAGUGAAGGCAUAGUAUAAAUAAUUCACCCCCAUAUUAUUUAUUAGCAGCUUGAUUAUUUUAUAUGCAUCUUUGAUUUAAAUUUUUUUUUCCCAUAAUUGCUACUAUGUUCGAACUGGUCAUGAAUUAUCUAUAAGAUUUUUCAUGUUGCUUUUAGGUGCAUUGGAUUUUUUUUAGUUUAGUGCAAGAGUAGAGGAAGGCAAAUUAAGAAAAAGGAUAAAGAUCUAUGAUUAGCUAUUUUGGGAUGUCUCAUAACAUAUUGAUGGUAACAUUAUACAUAUGUAUAUCUAAAAAAUGGGGUUGGAUCAAGAGCCCAUUAAUAAUCAUAGAUUAGCUUAUAUAGCAAUUUCACAAGCACAUGUUAGCCUAUGUUGAGCUUUAUUAUCAAUAGUUCAUAGUUCAUCGGUGCACUGCAGGUUUACUAUUUGAAGUAAAUAUUAUGGUGCGUGCAUUUUUUAUAAGGCCAACUGCUGAAUUUAGCAUUGAAACUUACAAAAUGUAAUAGAGAGAGGUAGAUAACAGCCACAAAACACUAAGAUUGGAAAUCAGGGCUACUAAAUACUAUUACAAGCCCUUAGAAAAGACACUGAUCAUCCUAGAAUGUAUAUACUGAAAGUAAGAAAUAUUAAUCGCAAAGUUAUGUGCCAACAAAACUAUUGACUACUUGUCUCUAGCAGAAGGUAUAUAUUUUUAACUUCAGCUCUCUACUUUGUUCUAAGAACUAGGCAAAAGAAUGAAACUUCGGUGUCUAAAGUUUGCCGCUUGAAAUAUUUCACUGUCUAAACAUUCACUCACCACUUAUUUCAUAAAUGAAUUUUGUCUAACUAUAUGUUGAUAAAGAUAUUAGAGGUAAUAUAAUGCAUUUAAGACUUAACGUAUAUUUUUUAUUAGUAGAGUGUAGAAUUUUUAAGAAAUAAAUUAUUAAAUUACUAUAACUAACAUAUUAUUUUAAAGUUAUGUUAAGAAAAGAAUGAAAAUAAAAAAUAAAAAAAUAAGGGUAUUCUAAAACUUUGAUCCUUUUAAAAGUAGUUUUUGACGUAAAUAAAAUAAUUUUUAUUUUUUUUAAAUCACAUACUCUAGUUAAAAUCAAAUUUGUAUUUAUAAAGAUUGUAAAAUUUUUUUUAGCAUUAAUAUUUGAAUACUUUCAAGAUAAGAAAUAGGGUACUAAUUAUGCUACAACAUUAUUAUAGCACAUAAAAAGACAAUACCCUUUAUAUUAUUAUACUAUCGUUUUUGUUAUGAUAGUAUUUUGUUAGUGGUCAAAUAUUACUUUUUUAAAUAAAAAAGUAGACAAAUGUAAAUCAAUUUUUAAUCUCUCCUAAAAUUCUAAUUCCUAGUUACCAAACAAAAUUGUUUGAAAAUAAUUUGGCUAAGUGCAUGGGUUCUUAAAACUAUAGGUGAUAGAAGUUACAAGCACAAGCAAAUUUGACGGUCCAUUUUAUAAAAUUUUUAAUAAUUUUUUAUUUACCAUUUUACCACCUAUAUAAUGAGUGCCACAUCGACAAAUCAAUUCAUUUGCAAAUUAUAUUAAUUUUGUAAAAUUCAUUUGACUUGCUAAACCCUUCUUAUCCCCUUUCUCGACUGUCAUACCCUAACCUUAUUUCCCGUGUCCACACUUGACCACGCUCAAUUCAGGCCAUCAGAUUAUCCUGGACCCACAUUAAUCCAACUGCUCACAAUGACCGACAGCCUCUCCAUCUCCAUUUCAAGCUUCCUCUUCAACUGGCUUCUGCUUCCGUCGUACUCUUUCUUGGAUUCGGAGUCCGUAUUUGCUCGGCCGGUCCCGCACAGCUCCCUCUCACUCCAAUUGUCACCCAACAAGACCAAUUGCUUAACAUUGACCGUAUGGCAAUUGUCCGUAUUUCUUGGAUUCGGAGUCCGUAUGGCACAGAACAAGAAGAGGAUGAGAAAUUGAAACAAGAAUUUGAGAAUUGGAAAUCGAAAACGUACGCAUUGACCGUGCCUUUGAGGGCAAUUACUUUUCUUGAGAAUUGAAGUUUGGUAAUGUAAUUUGUUCUCCAUCUGUGUUCCCUUUGUAGUCAUUUCAUUUAUUUGUUUGUUUGCUUUUAUUUGCACUUACGAAGUCUCAGAUAUAUCUACGCAGGAAUGAUGCAGGAGAAAUUGAUCCUCGAGCUUACAAGAAAAGUAAAUUUCGAAAGCAUAAUUUGGCUCCGAUUGAGGUAAUAAUUGUCUUUAAACUCAUUUAGUUUUAUAUCAAACAAAAUAAAGGCUGCCUUUCUCUUCAAUAUUUUUUAUGAUAAUAUCUUUAGAAGCAUCUCAUUGACGGGUAAUCAUGGUAUCCCUUAAAGAGUCUAUAAACUCAAUGAUAUUUUCUUCUGCAAAUGGUUCAUUAAACUUCUUAGACGUAGUUAAAUGUACACUAAGAACAACGAGAAGCUAUGCCGCUGUAGCAUGUAGUGAGAUCUUGUUUGAAGUUGUUUUCUGAAAUGAACUGCCAAAUGGUAGUUUUUUAUUUCUUGGGUGCAUUUGAUGACUCUUUUCUCCUCAUUUUAAGCAUGUACCUGCUUGGAAUGGGAAGGAAUAGGCUUCCGAGUUGUUAUAUAUGUUGACAUGCUCUGAUCAUUACACAAAAUGUUCAAAUUGGAAAUUAGAAUGAGAUAUUUGUCGAUGCUUUUUGAGAGAUCUGCAUUCUAUGCACCAUAACAUGAUUAAUGAAAACAGGUUUAAGGACUGGAAAGAUCUGUGGCGGCCCAAGCUUGCAGGAAGGAUUUCAAUGGUUAAUUCUCCCAGAGAGGUUAUUGGUACAGUUUUGAAGUAUAUGGGAGCAUCAUACAAUUCAAACGACAUUGAUUAGCAAGUUGCUGCUGGGAGGAUUGCUGUUCAGCAGAAUCUGGCAUUACUGGGAAACCAGGUACUCUUAAAGAAAUGAUAUCUGGUCAAUGCAUAUUACUGCCUGAGCUGAUUUUGUUUGUAAAGUCUGCCUCUUCAUACAUAUGAAUGCAUAUGUUAGUGUUUUCUUCUCCUUUUAAUACACAUGAAUGCAUAUGUUAGUGUUGUCUUCUCCUUUCCAUAAAUAUGAAUGCAUAUGCUCUGGGUGUUGGUUACUACUUCAAGUGGAAGGUGAAGGUGAUGCAAGUGAUUUCAGGAGUACAUAUAUUCCAAGGAUGCUGGACUAUUAUUGCUUCCCCCCAUAUUUCAGAAUUUUUUGUCAACCUCCUCCACUAAGGGAUUCCAAUUGAGUUACAAAUAUAUUUUCUGUAGCUAUGUUUUAAAGUUUUGGUCUCAUGUUAAUUUUUCUAAUUACUAUUCUUCAACAAAUCUCUUUUACUUUAAAAAACUGCUACAGUUUGAUUUUACUGCCUUAUAUCAUUGAACAUUGAUACAUGGAAUUUGAAAUCAGACUUGUAACAACAGAUAUAUAGAUAUAGAACAUGCAUAUAAUCUCCAUUUCGAGCUCCCUCUCCAACUGGCUUCUGCUUCCGUCGUACUCUUUCUGGGAUUCGGAGUCCGUAUUUGCUCGGCCGGUCCUGCACAGCUCCCUCUCACUCCAAUUGUCACCCAACAAGACCAAUUGCUUAAUCAAGGCACAGAACAAGAAGAGGAUGAGAAGUUGAAACAAGAAUUUGAGAAUUGGAAAUCGAAAACGUAUGCAUUGACUGUGCCUCUAAGGGUUGUUUCUCUUCAGAAUUCAGUGCCUCAAUCUUGGGUUAAGGAUUUUAUGCGAAGUCAAGGAAAGAGAUUGAAGUUUCAGAUGAAUUUGUGUGCUAGCAUUGGUGGGAUCUUUAACAAUUUAUCUGUGCCCUUUAACAAAGUUAAGGGUAAGUCAGCUUCGUAUACGGCUGCUGAUUUGGUUAGUGUUGGUGAUUCAUGGCUCAGUUUUGCGAUUAAAAAGAGAUUGAUUGAGCCAAUAGCUGAAGCUGAAGAUCAAGAUUGGUUCAAAUGCUUAUGUCACAAAUGGAAGGUAACAUACUAACAUCUUUAUCUUUGACCCGAUAAUUUUUAUUGUCUUACAUUGAAAUUUGGUAAUGUAAUUUGUUCUCUAUUUGUGUUACCCUUUGUAGUCGUUUUAUUUAUUUGUUUAUUUGCUUUUAUUUGCACUAAUGAAAUCUCAGGUAUAUCUACGCAGGAAUGAUUCAGGAGAAAUUGAUCCUCGAGGUAAAAUAUGGGCGGCACCAUACAGGUGGGGCACAACGGUGAUAGCCCACAAGAAAAGUAAAUUUCGAAAGCAUAAUUUGGCUCCGAUUGAGGUAAUAAUUGUCUUUAAACUCAUUUAUUUUUAUAUCAAACAAAAUCAAGACUGCCUUUCUCUUCAAUAUUUUUUAUGAUAAUAUCUUUAGAAGCAUCUCAUUGACGGGUAACAAUGGUAUCCCUGAAAGAGUCUUUAAACUCAAUGAUAUUAUCUUCUACAAAUGGUUCAUUAAACUUUGUCGUUGUAGUGAAAUGUACACUCAGAGCAAUGAGAAGCUAUGCCACUGUAGCAUGUAGUGAUGGCACUUAAUAAGUGAGUUGCUAGGAUGUGAACUAGAAAAAUUAAAUAUUGUCUCCUUGGGUAUGCUAGCUCAUAAGUCAGGGUUAAUAUUAGAGCUUAAGUUACUAUAACCAUGAGACGCUAUUGACUGCCAAUUAAAAUAUCCAUUAAAUUGUCUAGGAAGUUAUGAAAGUGGAGGUAUCUUCCGAUUUCUAAGGCCAGAUAGUAGACAUCAUCCAGGAUCCUAGGAAAGUGCAGUUAACCUCCUGCUCGAUGCAAUUAAUAAAUUUGGUCAAUGCCACUGAAACCUGCAAACCGACGUCACAAUGCAAGAUGAGCACUUCAAAAUGGGACAGACGGUCAGUAGCACUAAAUUUUUCUUUCCCAAGAUUGAGCAAUUGGUCUAACAACUAACCCCUAUUGUAGGUUGAUCAUUAUUUUUCCAAUUAUGUUCAGUUUGACCCAAAAAGUUACAGAAUCUUGAGCUGAAUAUUGUCACUGAACACUGUCAAUGUCGUUUAGCAUACCCAACUAACUUGAGUUUGGUAAAACAAACACACUGUGUGUCUCAUCUCUCACAAUUCAAAUUAUCAUCUGUAAUGAUGGAGAAUUUUUCCGAUGUAUGAAGUAUGCUUUGAUACGUGUACCUUGGAGAAGAUAUCUCCAAAUAAAGAAUAUGGAGAGAAAACGGUUCAGUAGUUUAUUAUUCUGUAGGCAAUUCUUGUCUCAAAAAUGGUCAAAAUUUAAAUGAAUAAGGACAGGGGAUCUUCAUUCUUUUUUCCCUUUUUUAUACCAAGAUAUCUCUCAACCUUUAUAUAAUCCCCACUGGAUAUCUGCUUCUAAUAAUUAAAAUAAAAAUUUCACCCGCACAAAUAAAUACUGACCAAGCUCUAACAAUAAAAAGUAACAUCUUUACUCAAGUAAUUUACAGUUCCUCAUCAUCUUAGUGUGAGACUAUCAUUACGUUCCAAAAACAUAAUAAAACUGGUUUGAUCCUGUUUAUUGAUGUUUAAAUGUUGUUCAUUGUGACAUGUAGAAAUGAUGAGGCGAAGUUUAUUUGGUCAUCAAUUAGUAAGAUCUUGUUUGAAGUUGUUUUCUGAAAUGAACUGCCAAAUGGUAGUUUUUUUGGGCAUAUGAUGGCUCUUUUUUCCUCAUUUUCAACAUGUGCCUGCUUGGAAUGGGAUGGAUUAGGCUGCAGAGUUGUUAUAUAUUUUGAGAUGCUCUGGCCAUUGCACAAUUUGUUCACACUGGAAAUUAGAAUGAGAAAUUUGUUGAUGCUGUUUUGAGAGAUCUGCAUUCUAUGCACAAUAACAUGAUUAAUGAAAAUGGAUUGUAGGACUGGAAAGAUCUGUGGCAGCCUGAGCUCGCAGGAAGAAUUUCAAUGGUUAAUUCUCCCCGAGAGGUUAUUGGUUCAGUUUUGAAGUAUAUGGGAGCAUCAUACAAUUCAAGCGAUAUUGAUUCGCAAGUUGCGGGUGGGAAGAUUGCUGUUCAGCAGAAUCUGGCAUUACUGGCAAACCAGGUACUCUUAAAGAAAUGAUAUCUGAUCAUGCAUGUUAUUGCCUGACAACUGAUUUUGUUUGUAAAAGUCUGCUUCUUCAUACAUAUGAAUGCAUAUGUUAGUGUUCUCUUCUCCUUUUCAUACAUAUGAAUGCAUAUGUUGGUGUUGUCUUUUCCUUUUCAUACAUAUUAAUACAUAUAUUGGUGCUCUCUCCUGAGAUGGAUGCAAUAAAGGCUUUUGGUCCUAAAUUUAGCUGAAGAAAUGGCAAGGGAUGUGAGAUUCUGUCUCAUUAAAUUAACAAAAACCCAAAACAAUGAAAACCGAUAAUAAUGUGGUGGGGGUAAAUUGGCACCAUUUGGUUUGUUUCCUUAAUGUGAAUACACGAGCAAUAGGGACUAACAAAAUGAAGUGACAACAACAAGUCAGUGUCCUUUGAUGGAUGCAUUUUAGGCAGAAAUAGGUUUGUAAUUGACCAAUUUCAAAAAAUUUAAAUUAUGUGGUUAUUAGCUGUAAUGAAGGGGAUAGUAGGUGCAAUCAGGUGGAUCCAGGAAAGUUCAACAAAGUUCUGGUAUGGCAUAGUGAAAUUGGUUUGUGCAACUCAAGAGUCUUUCAGGUGAACGAUGAUACGUUUUGAUUUAUAAAUGUUAUAAAUCUACCGUCCAUAGUAUUCUAGUAGAGUCAUCUAUAAGUUCUAGUUAUUGAAAUUGUCUACUUUGUCCAGUUUGAGUUAAGGGCACAUGUAAUAGGAAAAAUAGUAUUCACAUCUUUUUGGUUACCUAACAUUUGAUCGAUCCUAUUAUGAGGGCUUCAAGAUGCCUGACAAUAUGUAGAAUGCCCAUGCUCCUCCCCAUUGUUUAUCUUAUACAAUAAUUUGUUUUAGAUGCUAAUAUAUUUGUCGAUACCGGUAACGAUAUUACAAUAUCUGCGUUUAUUGGGUUUUACAUAGGUUCGACUGUUUGACAGUACACACUAUCUGAAGGCAUUUGGAAUUGGAGAUGUAUGGGUUGCUGUUGGGUGGAGUAGUGAUGUUCUUCCUGCUGUCAAACGUAUGUCUAAUGUUGCAGUUGUUGUUCCCAAGUCUGGUGCUAGCUUAUGGGCCGAUCUUUGGGUAUACCCAUGCCUGCCAUUCUACUUCGAUAUUCACAUUGUUAUCUCCUUCAUUUUAGCGAUCAUAAACUUGAUAAUGUGACUAAUAAGUUCGUAUUCUCUAUAUAGGCAAUCCCUGCUGCCUCAAGACUUGAAACAAAAGAAAUUGGAGGGCGAGUCAGAGGUCCAUCUCCAUUAAUCCAUCAAUGGAUAGAAUUCUGCUUGCAAACAGCGAGAACAUUGCCUUUCAAGCAAGAGGUUAUCCCGGGCGCAUCUCCCUCUGCCCUUGAAAGUACUCUGGUUAAGUUGCCUGAAGAACUUCUGAUGGGUAAACCAAGUCUGGAUACUAACUUAAUUGCUGGAGUACCCCCGGCUGAAAUUCUGGCCAGAUGUGAGUUUUUGGAGCCAUUGCCUGAAGCUACAUUGUCAGAUUAUGAGUGGCUGGUUGCUAAUCUGCAAAAACCUGCCCCCGUCUUGAUGAAAAGGCUGCAACAUUACUUGUCAUCAUUAAUCCAAAGCUUUCUAGCAAAAGCUACAUUGAAAAGUUAAUGGCACUGCAUGCCAGUCAUUGUAAUGCUGUCAGGGCUAUUGGGUCAGGGCAAUUAGGUAAGAGCAUAACUUCAUUAGGAAAAGAGGCUUCAGCUACGUUAAAUAUUGCAGGAUGUACUGAGAUGGUUGAAGUUCUUGAGGUUUUACGAGAAACGAAAGAUGAGUGUUUGUUUGAACAAAGUUGUUGCCAUCUUGCAAGAUCACUGAGCGAAUGCCACCGAUUUCUUAAUCAUUGUAGCCUCCAUAGUUGAAGUUUCCUUAUUUGAAGCUGUUUAUGCGUACGCUUUUUCCCUGCUCAAGUACAGGAAAUUGAAGAAUUAACCAGAUGUGAUAUGCUGAAAGAGGGAAGUUUUCUUCCUUGAACGUGGCCUUGUGAUUUGUCUUGAAGGAAUAGGAUGAUCACUGGCAAGAACCCUAUCAAGGUAGAUUUUAUGGUGCUAACGUAUUAUUAAGCAUUUUGUUACAUCAGCAAUGAUGCUUCCAUAGCAUGAAAGUGUUUAAAUUUAACUGAAUGAUCUUGAUUAAUCAAUUAUGAGUUUUAAUCGAGUAAAAACUAAAUACAAUCAUCGUUAGCAAAUACUGAAAUUGGGUAAAUAUGAUCUUGAUAUUGAAGAAUCUGAAAACACAACCCACACAGGGAAUCACCCUUCGCGUGGGGAUGGAGAUGUUUACUGCAGCGAUAUUGAAUAUGUCCACUGCUCUUUGGGUUAUGGUGCGACUUGCCCUGAAACAAUGGAAAAGAUUAACAUACCCUGCAAUGAAUGAAAGCGGCUGGACUAAUUCUGAUUACCUAAUUGACUCAGGAUCGGGUGGCAAUAAUGACAGUUUAUUAACAAUGCACAGUUCCGAGUACUUUUCCAGGAUCAGAUAUUACGUGGUCUAAUGUUGAUAAUAAUAGAUUAUCAAAUGAGAGAUGCUGAGAGAUGCUGGUCUACCUUUGCAAGCCCCCAGAUUUAAGAAUCUUUUGAUGAUAAUUUACCACCUGUACCUGUGCCGGAAGAUUCACCUAGCACUGAAAAAGAUGAUAAUUUAAUUGAUAUGGAUAGUUUUCAUAACACUUUUAAAUCAUCU